This 362-nucleotide ribosomal RNA is filed under the name Arthrobacter pascens. RNAcentral's name for it is "bacterial SSU rRNA". It matches the Rfam family "Bacterial small subunit ribosomal RNA", at positions 509 to 868 of the family's 1533-position model. The record is from RNAcentral. Lineage: Bacteria; Bacillati; Actinomycetota; Actinomycetes; Micrococcales; Micrococcaceae.
UAGCAGCCGCGGUAAUACGUAGGGCGCAAGCGUUAUCCGGAAUUAUUGGGCGUAAAGAGCUCGUAGGCGGUUUGUCGCGUCUGCCGUGAAAGUCCGGGGCUCAACUCCGGAUCUGCGGUGGGUACGGGCAGACUAGAGUGAUGUAGGGGAGACUGGAAUUCCUGGUGUAGCGGUGAAAUGCGCAGAUAUCAGGAGGAACACCGAUGGCGAAGGCAGGUCUCUGGGCAUUAACUGACGCUGAGGAGCGAAAGCAUGGGGAGCGAACAGGAUUAGAUACCCUGGUAGUCCAUGCCGUAAACGUUGGGCACUAGGUGUGGGGGACAUUCCACGUUUUCCGCGCCGUAGCUAACGCAUUAAGUGCC